Long non-coding RNA from Monodelphis domestica (gray short-tailed opossum), 2384 nucleotides. RefSeq lists it as uncharacterized. The record is from RefSeq and is a predicted model, not a curated record. Lineage: Eukaryota; Metazoa; Chordata; Mammalia; Didelphimorphia; Didelphidae.
GAUACUAGAGCUGCAAGUGUAGUAGAAAGAACAUGCACCGGAUCUGAAAUAUUCUGUUUCAGUUUUGUCAUUGUUUUCCCAAAGCCUUAUUCAUAGUAAGUCCUUAGGUCUUAAUUUAAUCACUAUUUGCUCUCUGUGUGUCCUUGAGCAAGUCACCUCUCUGGGCCUCAGUUCCUUAUCUUUAAAAGGAAGGGAUUGGUCGAUCUCUAAUUUUCUUUCCAACUUUACAUUUGCAGUUUUGUAAUUGCUCCUAUCUCAGCUUCUCCCAGUUCUCUGCUACCCUCACAGGGAGAAAUGUUGAGUCAGCUGAUGCUUUGCUGAGUGAGUGUGAAGACUCUGCUGAUGGCACAAGGAGGGGGGAGUUACCUUUUCUGACAAUAGAAUGUGGGCACUGCACCUCAACCCUCGCCUCAGAGAAUAUAGCAAAUUUAUAGAGAUUAACCUGAGUAUCACAGGUGUGCCCUUUACACAAGCUCUGGGGUAUUUGCCAAACCUCUUGGUAACAGAAUUGUGUUGUUUCCAAUCUUGUUUGAAAUAGAAAUCUUUCUGUUAUGGCACAGCGGCUCACUAUCCUUUGUUGUUCAACAUUUGUUUUUGGACAAGAUUAAUGACAUCACAGGGUGAUGUCUUGUCUUGUGCAUGAAUUAGAUUGAAGUUAGGUAGAGUCAGGAAAAGUCAUUGGCCUCACUUUCUCUUCUAGAGAUAUCAAAAUCCAGUGGCAUGCAAUGUGUAAUGAAGCUCUAAUCACUCCAUAGCACCUGCUUCAACUACUUUCAUGGUCAUAGAACAAUUGUUCUCAUCAGCCUAUUCCACUGGGAGAAGACUUCCAAUGGCUGAGUUGCCUUGGAUUUUGUGGGCAUGCUUAUGUGACCUCGCUGCUAAUUUUGCAAAAACAAAGAGAGACUCACUUGUUCUCCUGUUUGGUGUGGUAUAGUUUCUGGUUAUCUCCAUUGUGGGACCAAAGAAGUUUCCAGGUAGUGUCUUGAUAACCUAAGGUCCUUACAGAGGAGGAUUCCCCUUCCAAACAGUAACCUCUCUCUCCCUUCCUCGCUGUCUUCCAUAUGCCAAGAAGAGUCUUUGGAAAGGCACUAGGAAACUACCCAGCAGACCAGGAGAGCCUGAAGAUAAAAGAGAGUGCAGAUGGUAGAGGAAACAAUCUGCUAAAGAAGGCAAAAUGGAAUGGAAUCCCUUGUGCCUAUAAAGGGAGUUACCUUGGCAAGGAGAAAAACCAGCUCUUCUAUGAGAUGGGGGGAAGGAGGACAUGGUGGCAGAAGACAUCUAAAUGAUAUGAGAUGAGGAGGAGUAAGAGAGAACCCCCAGUGAAUGGCAUCAAUUUUUCCAGUGAAAUAUGAUGAGUUAAGAAUUCUCAGCUAAAAGGGAGGAUGGAGGGGGAGUUAUGAGAGGUUUGAGGAGAAAUGAGAAGGUUGGAAAAGCUACUCUGAUGAGUGGAAUAGUGAGUCAGCUAGAGAGUUGUAAAAGAAUUGUCUUGCAGUAGAGAGGGCCCAUUUGAGAUUAUAAAACAUAAAUUUGUAGUGGAUGCAGUCAGUCUGUUUCUGUGAUUUUCUCCAGUUUAAUUCAGCAGCAUGUGAAUAGGAUUAAAGGCAAUGGAUGAUGGAAGAUUAAGACCUGGAAGUUAAGACAGGAUAAAGUGGGAUGGAUGAAUGAACUUAAGAAAAAGACAAUCUAAAUCUGAAUUGGUUCAUAAAGAGAUCAACCCUUAGAAAUAAAUCAGUCAACCAGCAUUUUCAAAACACCUAUGUCUCAGGAACCAUGCUAGGUGCUGAGGAUAUAAAGACAAGAAAAGAAAAGCAUUUGGUUCUUGCCCUUAAGUUUACAUUCAGUAGGUGAAAUGUACAUAUCGAUAGGAAGCAAACAAAUACUGGGAGAAAUUAUGCUUAACCCACAUUGAUCCUUAAUCACUGCUUAUUGAAUUGGAGCCUAGAAGGCAGUUGAGUGGUUCUAAGCAACAUGCCCUUGAGCAUGGCAGUGCCAGAGCAGAGCAGUAAUGGCCUUUAAAGGUAAAUGAAAGUAUUUGAAUAGCUGGAGAGAGGAAGCCAGCCUAGUGAUUUGUGAAUGCCAUUGUCACUUCUUUGAGAGGACAGCUUGGGUCCAGGCCAGAAUAUAUGGGCUCUAUUGAAGGAGUUGUUGAUUUAUCAGUCUUGUAGCUUCCUGAAGGAGAGACUAGUCCACAAGAAGACCAUGAAGGUGCCCACUAUAAGGCAGGUGAUGGAUGAAGAACUCUAUGUCUUGUCCAUUUUUCUUUGAGACAGGCUAGAAAAAUCUGACCCCAACUGCUCAUAACUUUAAGGAAAAUACCUCCAAAGUAAGUAAUUUCCAGGAAGUCUGGUGAAUAAUGGCCUCCAAAUAAAGUUGGAUAGAAUUCA